This is a long non-coding RNA of Rhopalosiphum padi (bird cherry-oat aphid), 1028 nucleotides long. RefSeq lists it as uncharacterized. The record is from RefSeq and is a predicted model, not a curated record. The transcript is spliced from 5 exons. NCBI's taxonomy places the organism in Eukaryota, Metazoa, Arthropoda, Insecta, Hemiptera, Aphididae.
UUUAGAUAAUGAGAGGCGAAAUGUUUUAAUCGUUGUAAAGCCGUUGCAGGUAAUCGGGUGGUCCUAACAGCCCACAAAACUGUUUUAUAGUAUUCAGUUUAUUUUCGUAAUGCGCCAAGUGAGCAAACGGCCGGGGUAUUAAUAGCGUACGGUAUACGACUUCGGACUUCGAAUUUAUGAAUUGCUUUUCUCGCGUCGAUUCAAUACAAAAUCGGUAGUGAUUCACGUGUUUCUCAAAUGAUAUAGUUCUUCUAUUUGUGUGUGACUAUUAUAGUAUUCAACGUAAUGUACAUUUGUUCGACAGUAACAAUAAAGCUUAACAAUUUCAAGGAAUUUGAUUGACUAUAUCAUCAACAUUCAGAUUGAUUAAUGACAAUGCGAUCCAAGUCCUAAGUGAACUCGUUAUUAUGAAUUGAAGACGGGAUAUUAAUUUUGGCGUCCUGAUAAUAUUAUAGCGUCAGGAUAUUGCACAUGAUCAAUCCACUGUGACGUUGUUAAUAUUUCAUUUUUAUGACGAAACUGAGGGACAUCAUUGACAGAAGUCGCAACUGGGAAACGAGUAUAAUAGUCUAACCCAAGGACCUUCAACUUUUAUUGCGGUGCACUCAAUCUAAAAUAUGCUUUGGCAUGCGGUUCAAUAUUGGUUAGAGAGGAAUAAAAAGAAUUUCAAAAAUGUUAGAAUUUGUUCUAACAAUGUCUGCAGGAAGCCAAAAAUUGAACUUCAAAUAGCUGAGGCAAUUAAAAAAGAAGUAAAAAAAAAAAGUAUUAUUCUUAAAACCGUUUUCCGUCGGACAUUUAAUGACGGCGCGGAGAUGCAUUGGUCCUUGGAUGUUUUUUGUUUGCUCGAAAUGAAAAUAAUAUUGUCCACGAUAAACGAAUAAAAUAUAAUAUUUUGUUUUAAUAAAAUAAACAGCCGACACGGCGAUAUCGCAACAUACCGAAGAACAUGCACGGCUGGCCGUUGAUGGCGUCCUGUAGCCACUGGAUGGUCAGCAGGCAGACGAACGACAGGAGCAGGCAGGCCACGU